GACGAACGCUGGCGGCGUGCUUAACACAUGCAAGUCGAACGGAAAGGCCCUGCUUUUGUGGGGUGCUCGAGUGGCGAACGGGUGAGUAACACGUGAGUAACCUGCCCUUGACUUUGGGAUAACUUCAGGAAACUGGGGCUAAUCCCGGAUAGGAGCUCCUGCUGCAUUGUGGGGGUUGGAAAGUUUCGGCGGGUGGGGAUGGACGCGCGGCUUAUCAGCUUGUUGGUGGGGUAGUGGCUGACCCAGGCUUUGACGGGUAGCCGGCCUGAGAGGGUGACCGGCCACAUUGGGACUGAGAGACGGCCCAGACUCCUACGGGAGGCAGCAGUGGGGAAUAUUGCACAAUGGGCGGAAGCCUGAUGCAGCAACGCCGCGUGCGGGAUGACGGCCUUCGGGUUGUAAACCGCUUUCGCCUGUGACGAAGCGUGAGUGACGGUAAUGGGUAAAGAAGCACCGGCUAACUACGUG
This 468-nucleotide ribosomal RNA is filed under the name uncultured bacterium. Its description in RNAcentral is "partial 16S ribosomal RNA". It matches the Rfam family "Bacterial small subunit ribosomal RNA", at positions 28 to 507 of the family's 1533-position model. The record is from RNAcentral.